GGAGGUCACUGCUAUUGGGAUUCGACUAAGCCAUGCGAGUCGAGAGGGUUCGGCCCUCGGCUGACGGCUCAGUAACACGUGGAUAAUCUGCCCUUAGGUGGAGGAUAACCUCGGGAAACUGAGAAUAAUACUCCAUAGGUCUAGGAUGCUGGAAUGCACUUAGACUCAAAACUUCGGUGCCUAAGGAUGAGUCUGCGGACUAUCAGGUUGUAGUCAGGGUAAAGACCUGACUAUCCUACGACGGAUACGGGUUGUGAGAGCAAUAACCCGGAGAUGAUAUCUGAGACACGAUAUCAGGCCCUACGGGGCGCAGCAGGCGCGAAAACUUCACACUGCGCGAAAGCGCGAUGAGGGAAUCCCAAGUGCUUGCACGUUAGUGUAAGCUGUUUCUAUGUUUAAAUUGCAUAGAGAGUAAGAGCUGGGUAAGACGGGUGCCAGCCGCCGCGGUAAUACCUGCAGCUCAAGUGGUGGCCGUUAUUAUUGGGCCUAAAACGUC
This 496-nucleotide ribosomal RNA is filed under the name uncultured archaeon. Its description in RNAcentral is "bacterial SSU rRNA". It matches the Rfam family "Archaeal small subunit ribosomal RNA", at positions 19 to 519 of the family's 1478-position model. The record is from RNAcentral.